Molecule: ribosomal RNA, 254 nt
Filed under: uncultured bacterium
Lineage: Bacteria
Description: partial 16S ribosomal RNA
Rfam family: Bacterial small subunit ribosomal RNA
Source: RNAcentral
UACGAAGGGGGCUAGCGUUGUUCGGAAUUACUGGGCGUAAAGGGCGCGUAGGCGGUGAUCUUUGUCAGAGGUGAAAGCCCGGGGCUCAACUCCGGAAUUGCCUUGAAACGGGAUUGCUUGAGUCCGAGAGAGGAUGGCGGAAUUCCUAGUGUAGAGGUGAAAUUCGUAGAUAUUAGGAAGAACACCGGUGGCGAAGGCGGCCAUCUGGCUCGGUACUGACGCUGAUGCGCGAAAAGCGUGGGGGAGCAAACAGG